GGGAAAGCUACGGCGAGUACGGAAGGCAGUGGAGGAACUUCCAAGAAAAGUUUCUAACGUUAAGUAUAUAUGGCCCGUACCGAAAAUGGACACACAUGGGUGAGGAGAGAAUCCUAAGGUGAGCGAGAGAACUAUAGCUAAGGAACUCUGCAAAAUGACUCCGUAACUUAGGGAGAAGGAGUGCUCAUAGAGAUAUGAGCCGCAGUGAAACGGCCCAAGCGACUGUUUACCAAAAACACAGCUCUCUGCUAAGCCGCAAGGCGAAGUAUAGGGGGUGACGCCUGCCCGGUGCUGGAAGGUUAAGGGGAGGGGUUAACGCAAGUGAAGCCCUGAACUGAAGCCCCAGUAAACGGCGGCCGUAACCAUAACGGUCCUAAGGUAGCGAAAUUCCUUGUCAGGUAAGUUCUGACCCGCACGAAAGGCGUAACGAUUUGGGCGCUGUCUCAGCUGUAGACUCGGUGAAGUCUUAGUACCUGUGAAGAUGCAGGUUACCCGCGACUAGACGGAAAGACCCCAUGGAGCUUCACUGCAGGUUGAUAUUGGGAUUUGAUGCAGCAUGUACAGGAUGGGUAGGAGGCAAAGAGAUGGAUACGCCAGUAUUCAAGGAGCCGCUGUUGGGAUACUACCCCUGUUGUAUUGGAUUUCUAACCGGACGACGUAGAGCCGUUGACGGGACAGUGUCAGUCGGGCAGUUUGACUGGGGCGGUCGCCUCCCAAAGAGUAACGGAGGCGCCCAAAGAUACCCUCAGCUUGGAUGGAAACCAAGCGCAGAGUGCAAAGGCAAAAGGGUGUUUGACUGCGAGACCCACAAGUCGAGCAGGGACGAAAGUCGGGCUUAGUGAUCCGGCGGUGCUGAAUGGAAAGGCCGUCGCUCAACGGAUAAAAGCUACCCUGGGGAUAACAGGCUGAUCUCCCCCAAGAGUUCACAUCGACGGGGAGGUUUGGCACCUCGAUGUCGGCUCAUCGCAUCCUGGAGCUGAAGUCGGUUCCAAGGGUUGGGCUGUUCGCCCAUUAAAGCGGUACGCGAGCUGGGUUCAGAACGUCGUGAGACAGUUCGGUCCCUAUCUGUCGUGGGCGCAGGAAAUUUGAGAAGAGCUGUCCUCAGUACGAGAGGACCGGGAUGGACGCAUCAAUGGUGGACCAGUUGUCACGCCAGUGGCAUAGCUGGGUAGCUAAAUGCGGAAGGGAUAAACGCUGAAGGCAUCUAAGUGUGAAACCCACUUCAAGAUGAGAUUUCCCAUUGCGCAAGCAAGUAAGACCCCUUAAAGACGAUAAGGUAGAUAGGUCAGGAGUGUAAGCAUGGUGACAUGUUAAGCGGACUGAUACUAAUAGGUCGAGGGCUUGACCG
Molecule: ribosomal RNA, 1348 nt
Filed under: metagenome
Description: bacterial LSU rRNA
Rfam family: Bacterial large subunit ribosomal RNA
Source: RNAcentral